This 253-nucleotide ribosomal RNA is filed under the name uncultured bacterium. RNAcentral describes it as "partial 16S ribosomal RNA". It matches the Rfam family "Bacterial small subunit ribosomal RNA", at positions 524 to 776 of the family's 1533-position model. The record is from RNAcentral.
UACGAGGGGUGCAAGCGUUGCUCGGAAUUAUUGGGCGUAAAGGGUAGGUAGGUGGUCUCAUUUGUCUGGGGUGAAAGCCUCGAGCUUAACUCGAGAAGUGCCUCGGAAACGGUGAGACUAGAGUCUUGGAGAGGGUCGUGGAAUUCCCGGUGUAGCGGUGAAAUGCGUAGAGAUCGGGAGGAACACCAGAGGCGAAGGCGGCGAUCUGGACGAUGACUGACGCUGAGACGCGAAAGCGUGGGGAGCAAACAGG